Molecule: ribosomal RNA, 497 nt
Filed under: uncultured bacterium
Lineage: Bacteria
Description: partial 16S ribosomal RNA
Rfam family: Bacterial small subunit ribosomal RNA
Source: RNAcentral
GAUGAACGCUGGCGGCGUGCCUAAUACAUGCAAGUCGAGCGAACAGACGAGGAGCUUGCUCCUCUGACGUUAGCGGCGGACGGGUGAGUAACACGUGGAUAACCUACCUAUAAGACUGGGAUAACUUCGGGAAACCGGAGCUAAUACCGGAUAAUAUAUUGAACCGCAUGGUUCAAUAGUGAAAGACGGUCUUGCUGUCACUUAUAGAUGGAUCCGCGCCGCAUUAGCUAGUUGGUAAGGUAACGGCUUACCAAGGCAACGAUGCGUAGCCGACCUGAGAGGGUGAUCGGCCACACUGGAACUGAGACACGGUCCAGACUCAUACGGGAGGCAGCAGUAGGGAAUCUUCCGCAAUGGGCGAAAGCCUGACGGAGCAACGCCGCGUGAGUGAUGAAGGUCUUCGGAUCGUAAAACUCUGUUAUUAGGGAAGAACAAAUGUGUAAGUAACUGUGCACGUCUUGACGGUACCUAAUCAGAAAGCCACGGCUAACUACGUG